Molecule: unclassified non-coding RNA, 336 nt
Filed under: soil metagenome
Description: partial contains 5.8S ribosomal RNA, internal transcribed spacer 2, and large subunit ribosomal RNA
Rfam family: 5.8S ribosomal RNA (bases 1-121)
Source: RNAcentral
GAUGAAGAACGCAGCGAAAUGCGAUAAGUAAUGCGAAUUGCAGAAUUCCAGUGAAUCAUCGAAUCUUUGAACGCACAUUGCGCCCGCUAGUAUUCUAGCGGGCAUGCCUGUUCGAGCGUCAUUUCAACCAUCAAGCCCCAGGCUUGUGUUGGAGCCCUGCGGCCGUCCGCAGCCUCCUAAAAUCAGUGGCGGGCUCGCUAUCACACCGAGUGCAGUAGUUUACUCUUCGCUCAGGACGUGUAGCGGGUUCCGGCCGUGAAACCCCCCAAUUUUCAAGGUUGACCUCGGAUCAGGUAGGAAUACCCGCUGAACUUAAGCAUAUCAAUAAGCGGAGGA